Molecule: ribosomal RNA, 134 nt
Filed under: Auxenochlorella protothecoides
Lineage: Eukaryota; Viridiplantae; Chlorophyta; Trebouxiophyceae; Chlorellales; Chlorellaceae
Source: RNAcentral
UACCUAGUGUUCAUGCUUGUGUGGAACCACCUUAUUCCAUCCCGAACUAAGAAGUGAAACGCGCAAGGGGCGAAGAUACUAAAAGGGGGGCCUUUUGGGAAAAUAGCUUAAUGCUAGGUAAUUAAUUUUAAAAA